Non-coding RNA from Pelobates cultripes (western spadefoot toad), 175 nucleotides. The record is from the annotation of a GenBank genome assembly. NCBI's taxonomy places the organism in Eukaryota, Metazoa, Chordata, Amphibia, Anura, Pelobatidae.
CAGGUGAUGCUCUAAGCCAGGGGUCCUCAAACUCCGGCCCCCCAGAUGUUGCUGAACUACAACUCCUUUGAUUCUCUGGCUAUCUAUGUAAUUCAAAGAAUCAUGGGAGUUAUAGUUCAGCAACAUCUGGGGGGGCGGACGGAGUUUGAGGACCCCUGCUCUAAGCCAAUAACUG